RNAcentral lists this ribosomal RNA (111 nucleotides) under Saprospiraceae bacterium. The record is from RNAcentral. Lineage: Bacteria; Pseudomonadati; Bacteroidota; Saprospiria; Saprospirales; Saprospiraceae.
UUUGGUGGCUAUUGCACAGGGGCCCACCUCUUCCCAUUCCGAACAGAGAAGUUAAGCCCUGUUGCGCCGAUGGUACUGGUCACAAUCCGGGAGAGUAGGUCGCCGCCUUUU